CCUACGGGGUGCAGCAGUGGGGAAUAUUGCACAAUGGGGGAAACCCUGAUGCAGCGACGCCGCGUGAGUGAAGAAGUAUCUCGGUACGUAAAGCUCUAUCAGCAGGGAAGAAAAUGACGGUACCUGACUAAGAAGCCCCGGCUAACUACGUGCCAGCAGCCGCGGUAAUACGUAGGGGGCAAGCGUUAUCCGGAUUUACUGGGUGUAAAGGGAGCGUAGACGGCAGCACAAGUCUGGAGUGAAAUCUCGGGGCUUAACCCCGGAACUGCUUUGGAAACUGUGCGGCUGGAGUGCAGGAGGGGUAAGCGGAAUUCCUAGUGUAGCGGUGAAAUGCGUAGAUAUUAGGAGGAACACCGGUGGCGAAGGCGGCUUACUGGACUGUAACUGACGUUGAGGCUCGAAAGCGUGGGGAGCAAACAGGAUUAGAUACCCGUGUAGUC
This 440-nucleotide ribosomal RNA is filed under the name uncultured bacterium. RNAcentral describes it as "partial 16S ribosomal RNA". It matches the Rfam family "Bacterial small subunit ribosomal RNA", at positions 338 to 795 of the family's 1533-position model. The record is from RNAcentral.